RNAcentral lists this non-coding RNA (21 nucleotides) under Arabidopsis thaliana (thale cress). Lineage: Eukaryota; Viridiplantae; Streptophyta; Magnoliopsida; Brassicales; Brassicaceae. The record is from RNAcentral.
AGUGCAAUUAACUUUAUGGUA